UUUUUUUUUUUUUUUUGAAAAGAUAAAUAUAAUUGACAAACCUCUAGCCAGGCUCAACAAGAGAAAAGAGACAUAAACAAAAUCAGAAAGAAAGAGGAAAAAUAACAAUCAAUACCUCAGAAACAGAAAAAGUCAUUAAGGGUAUAUAUAUGACUAGUUAUAUGUCAACAAAUUGGACAACCUACAACUAGUGAACAAGUUUCUAGAAACAUACAGCCUGCCACAGUUAGGUCAAGAAAAACCAGAUCAUCUGAAAAGACUGAUCACUAGAAAUGAAAUAGAAUCUGUAGUAAUAAUAAUAAUGAUGGUGAUGAUGAUGAAGAUCCUUGCAAAAAAAAAAAAAUCCAGGAUCCUAUGGCUUCACUGGGGAUUUCUACAAAACAUAUAAAGAACUUAUGACAAUACUUCUCAAAUCCCUCCAAAAGACUGAAGAAGAGCGAACAUUCCAAAAUUCAUUCUGUCUAGCUAUCAUCAGCCUGUUACUCAAAGCAGACAAAGAUAAGACCAAUAAAGAAAAUCAGAGGAUAAUCUUUGAUGAAUUUAGAUGCAAACAUCCUCAACAAAAUAUCAGCAAGCCAAAUCCAACAAUACAUAAAAAGGAUCAUACAACAUUAUCAAGUCAUAUUAAUUCUAGGGGUGUAAGGAUGUUUCAACAUAUGCAAAUCAACCAAUGGUAUAUAUCACAUUAACAAAUGAAAAGACAAAAACCACAUGAUCUUCUCAAUAGAUACAGGAAAAGUACUCAAUAAAAUUCAACAUUCAAUCAUGAUAAAAAACUCUCAUCAAAGUGGGUAUAAAGGGAAUGUACCUCAACAUAAUAUAAAACAUUUAUGAGAAAUAUUUUUGCAACCAACAUAAUAUUCAAUGGUGAAAAACAGAAAGCUUUCUCACCAAAUUCUGGAAUAAUAUAUGAAUGCCUACUAUUACCACUUCUAUUCAACAUAGUAUUGGAAGUCCUAGACAAAGCAACCACAGAAAAAAGAAAUAAGUUUUCCAAAGUGGAAGGAAAGAGCUAAAACUGUGAUUAUAUGCAGAUGACAUGACAUUCUCUAUAAAAAACCCUAAGACUCAACACAAAAAUGAUUAGAACAAAUAAAUAAAUUCAACAAGAUAGAAAGAUAUAAGAUUAACAUACAUAAAUCUGUUGUAUUUCUUUAUAAUAACACUGAAAUGCUGAAAGAGAACUUUUUUAAAUCCCAUUUUAAAUCACAUAAAAUAUAAAAUACCCAAUAGAUGUGGACUAUUGCCUUUGGAAUGGAUGAGCAAUGAGAUCCUGCUGUCUAGUCACUUAUGCUGGAGCAUGAUAAUGUGAGAAAAAAGAAUGUAUACAUGUAUGUCUAACUGGGUCACCAUGCUGUACAGCAGAAAAUUGACAGAACACUGUAAACCAGCUAUAAUGGAAAAAAAGAAAAAUCAUUAUGUUAAAAAAAUAAAGAUUAUUAAGAACUCAGGAAAAAAAAAUGCCUAGGAAUAAACUUAACCAGGAAGGUUUUGAAAGACUUGUGUUAUUGGAUUGGAAGAAUUAAUAUAGUUAAAAUGGUCAUACUACCCAAAGCAAUCUACAUAUUUAAUACAAUCUCUAUCAAAUUACCCAUGAAACUUUUCAAAGAACUAGAAUAAAUAAUGUUAAAAUUUAUAUGGAGUCACAAAAGACCCAGAAUUGCCAAAGCAAUCGUGAGGAAAAAGAACAAAGCUGCAAGAAUAAUUAUUCCUGAUUUCAGACAAUAUUACAAAGAUACUGUAAUCAAAAUAGCAUGGUUUUGGCAAAAAAAAAAAGACAUAUAUAUCAAAGGAACUGGACAGAGAGCCCAGAAAUAAAUCCACACACCAAUGGCCAAUUAAUCUAUGAGAAUGGAGGCAAGAAUAUACAAUGGAGAAAAGACAAUCUCUUCAACAAGUGGUGUUGGGAAAGCUGGACAGCUACAUGGAAAUCAGUUAAAUUGGAACACUCUCUCACACCAUGUACAAAAAAAAGUCACAAUUCUUUAAAAACUUAAAUAUUACAUGAUACCAUAAAAAUCCCAGAAGAGAAUGUAGGCAAAUUAUUCUCUGAAAUAUUUUAUAGCAAUAUUUUCUUAGAUCAGUCUCCCAUGGCAAAGGAAAUAAAAGCAAAAGUAAACAAGUGGUGGAGUUCCCGUCAUGGCGCAGAGGAAAUGAAUCCAACUAGGAACCAUGAGGUUGUAGGUUCAAUCCCUGGCCUCUCUCAGUAGGUUAAGGAUCUGGCAAUGCUGUGAGCUCUGGUGUAGGUUGCAGAUGCGGCUCGGAUCUGGUGUUGCUGUGGCUCUGGUGUACGCCGGCAGCUACAGCUCCGAUUAGACCCCUAGCCUGGGAACUUCCAUAUGCCGUGGGUGGGGCCCUAAAAGGACAAAAAAAAAAAAAAAGUAAACAAAUGGUAUUUAAGCAAACAUAUAAGCUUUUUCAGAGCAAAGGAUAUCAUUAACAAAAUCAAGAAAUAACCUAUGAAAUAAGAGAAAAUAUUUGCAAUGAUGCAACUGACCAGGCCUUAGUAUCUAAAAUAUAAAAACAGCACAUACAGCUCAAUAUCAAAAAAACGAAUAACCCAACAAAAACCGGUUGGAUACCUAAAUAGACACUUCCCCAAAGAAGACAUACAGGUAGCCAGCAGGCACAAGAAAAGAUGUUCAAUGUCACUAAUUAUCAGAUAAAUGCAAAUCCAAACCUUAGUGAAGUAUCACCUCACACUCGUCAGAAUGACUAUCAUCAAAAGCCUACAAAUAAUUGCUGGAGAGGGUGUGGGGAAAAGUGAACCAUCCUACACUGUAUGCGGGAAUGUAAAUUUGUGCAGCCACUUUAGGAAAGAGUAUGGAUUUCUUUAAAAAACAGAGUAAAGCUACAAUAUGAUCCAGCAAUCCUAAUCAUAGGCAUAUAUGCAGAAAAGAUGUUUUGCAUUUAUGCACCCACCCCAAUGUUCACAGCAGCACUGUUUACAAUGGCCAAGAUAUGGAAAGAACUCAAGCAUCCAUCAGUAGGUGACUGGUUUAAGAAGAUUUGACAUAUUUAUAUCUAUCUAUCCAAACAUAAACAUAAUGGAAUAUUACUUAGCUAUAAAAAAUAAUGAAAUAAUGCCAUUUGUACAACAUGGAUGGACCUAGAGAAUAUCAUACUAAGUGAUAUGAGAGCGAAACAUAAAUAUUAUAAAGAUAAAAUAAUGAAACAUUAAUUGCUGAACAAGUUUAAUUUUAUACCUAGGAGUUCCCGUCGUGGCGCAGUGGUUAACGAAUCCAACUAGGAACCAUGAGCCACAAUGGGAACUCCAUGAAAUUGUAUGUGUACUCUAAUGUUCAUAUUAACAGUGUUUACAAUAGCCAAGAUGCAGAAACAACCUAAGUGGCCAUCAAUUGAUAAAGAAAACACAGCAUAUAUAUACAAUGGAAUAUUACUCAGCCAUAAUAAAGAGUAAAGUAUUUUCAUUUGCAGCAACAUGGAUGGACUUAAAAAGACUGUUGUAUUAAGUGAAAUAAGUCACACAGGGAAUAUUAUAUAUCACUUAUUUCUUAUGAGAUCUAAAAAACAAUACUAAUGAAUCUCUAUGCAAAACAGCCAUCGUGGACUCCAAAGGUGGCUGUGAAAUAAGAGUUCUGACUAAGGAAAACCCCCCCGAUCCUUGGCUAAAAAGGCAGCUGCAAGCCUUUUCAGCUGUGCUCACCUCAUACCACCCUUCUUGUAAUAAUGUAGCAACAAUGUACCCUAUGCCCAAGCCAGCAGCCCUGCUAAUCAUGUUCCCAGCAUUGCUUAUCAGUUCCGCUUCUGUAACCUUGCUUGCUCAGUUUCUUAGGGAGGAACACUGUCUGCUCUGGGAAAGGGGGAGGUCCGGGAUGCUUCCAUGGGAAAAUCAUGACCUUGCAAUGUAUAAAAUUGCUGAGAACACAGACUUGGUGCUCAGACUGUGGAAGUGACUCCUCUGAGCCAGCACUGGUGUGAAAUAAACCUUCCUUUUCCACAUUUCCGAGUUUGUCUCCUUCCACUGCCAUGGUUUUUGCUUCUUCUGCAACAUUUUGGUGUGUUGGCUGUGAAGCCAACAACCAAGCUGGCCUCUUGUGUGCCACUGUUGUUGGGGAACCAGGGGAGGUCAUGGUCACCAGUCCAGUGACAGGUGGAUAGCACUCACUGGCCAGAUCCAGACCCUCACCUGGGCCAUGAUGGCCUUGGCUCACACUGCUUCCCAAAGGGACUCAGGAGAGUGGAAACAGGUUCCAGGACAGGAUGUUGGACUGGUGAGUGCCUCGGGGACAUCUGCCCUAGUCAGGACCUGCCAUACGGCGGAAGGAGAGACUGAUCACCUCUCAGUGACCAAAGGGUUACUCAGGUCAGGAUUUGUUCCCUUGGGAUCGGAAGACUUGUCAAUUCUGGGGUGUGUGCAUGUGUGUGGCCCUCUUCAGAGGGAUCCUGACGUUGGGGUUUACACAGUCAAACCAAAGCUAAGAGGCGCCUGAAAUAUCUCCUCCAGGGUAGAGGUCAGGCAGACAAGGCGACUGUUACCUGAGGCCUUGUCCUCGCUGUUUGUCUUGCGUCGCCGUCACAAGGUGGGACUUCACACAGUGGGUAAAUUGGCUUCCAAGCCCACUGUCUUAGAGUGUAUGGUUAAGAAUUUUAAGAAAGGAUUUUCAAGAGAUUAUGGUGUUAAACUGAGUCCUGGAAAACUGGGUACCCUCUGUACCCUAGAAUGGCCCACCUUUGGUGUUGGAUGGCCCCCAGAAGGGAUCUUAGAUGUGUUCAUGGUUGGAGCAGUAUAUAAUGUUAUAACAGGAGACCCUGGACACCCAUA
This 4786-nucleotide long non-coding RNA is filed under the name Sus scrofa (pig). RNAcentral's name for it is "lncRNA (ENSSSCG00055016862.1)". Lineage: Eukaryota; Metazoa; Chordata; Mammalia; Artiodactyla; Suidae. The record is from RNAcentral.